GACGGAGGGUGCAAACGUUGUUCGGAAUUACUGGGCGUAAAGCGCGUGUAGGCGGGCGCACAAGUCAGGGGUGAAAGCCCACGGCUCAACCGUGGAAGGGCCUUUGAUACUGUGUGUCUGGAGGGAGGUAGGGGCGUGCGGAACUUCCGGUGGAGCGGUGAAAUGCGUAGAUAUCGGAAGGAACACCGGUGGCGAAAGCGGCGCGCUGGACCUCUUCUGACGCUGAGGCGCGAAAGCCAGGGGAGCAAACGGG
Molecule: ribosomal RNA, 253 nt
Filed under: uncultured bacterium
Lineage: Bacteria
Description: partial 16S ribosomal RNA
Rfam family: Bacterial small subunit ribosomal RNA
Source: RNAcentral